RNAcentral lists this unclassified non-coding RNA (374 nucleotides) under uncultured bacterium. Its description in RNAcentral is "contains 16S-23S intergenic spacer region". The record is from RNAcentral.
UCCGGCUUAUCACCGGCGGUUUCUUUAGAGUGCCCAACUAAAUGAUGGCAACUAAAGACGAGGGUUGCGCUCGUUGCGGGACUUAACCCAACAUCUCACGACGCGAGCUGACGACAGCCAUGCACCACCUGUGCACCGGCCCCGAAGGGCUGCCGUGUUUCCACGACAUUCCCGUGCAUGUCAAGCCUUGGUAAGGUUCUUCGCGUCGCGUCGAAUUAAACAACAUGCUCCGCUGCUUGUGCGGGCCCCCGUCAAUUCCUUUGAGUUUUAACCUUGCGGCCGUACUCCCCAGGCGGUCAACUUCACGCGUUAGCUACGGUACCCAGAAAUCGCUUCCCGAACACCUAGUUGACGUCGUUUAGGGCGUGGACUAC